RNAcentral lists this ribosomal RNA (468 nucleotides) under uncultured bacterium. RNAcentral describes it as "partial 16S ribosomal RNA". It matches the Rfam family "Bacterial small subunit ribosomal RNA", at positions 28 to 507 of the family's 1533-position model. The record is from RNAcentral.
GACGAACGCUGGCGGCGUGCUUAACACAUGCAAGUCGAACGGAAAGGCCCUGCUUUUGUGGGGUGCUCGAGUGGCGAACGGGUGAGUAACACGUGAGUAACCUGCCCUUGACUUUGGGAUAACUUCAGGAAACUGGGGCUAAUACCGGAUAGGAGCUCCUGCUGCAUGGUGGGGGUUGGAAAGUUUCGGCGGUUGGGGAUGGACUCGCGGCUUAUCAGCUUGUUGGUGGGGUAGUGGCUUACCAAGGCUUUGACGGGUAGCCGGCCUGAGAGGGUGACCGGCCAGAUUGGGACAGAGAUGCGGCCCAGACUCAUGCGGGAGGAAGCAGUGGGGAAUAGGGCAUGAUGGGCGGAAGCCUGAUGCAGCCACGCCGCGUGCGGGAUGAUGGAGUUCGGGUUGUAAACCGCUUUCGCCUGUGACGAAGCGUGAGAGAGGGUAAUGGGUAAAGAAGCACCGGCCAACCACGUC